AUGUGCGAAAGCACGACAAGGUUAUCCGAGUGGUUUCUGCUAAAGAAACCUUUUGCUAGUCCUAGAAACACUAGUGAAUAAGGGGUGGGCAAGUUCUGGUGUCAGCCGCCGCGGUAAAACCAGCACCUCAAGUGGUCAGGAUGAUUAUUGGGCCUAAAGCAUCCGUAGCUCGUUUUGUAAGUUUUCGGUUAAAUCCAUACGCUUAACGUAUGGGCUGCCGGGAAUACUGCAUAACUAGGAAGUGGGAGAGGUAGACGGUACUCGGUAGGAAGGGGUAAAAUCCUUUGAUCUAUUGAUGACCACCUGUGGCGAAGGCGGUCUACCAGAACACGUUCGACGGUGAGGGAUGAAAGCUGGGGGAGCAAACCGGAUUAGAUACCCGGGUAGUCCCAGCUGUAAACUAUGCAAACUCAGUGAUGCAUUGGCUUGUGGCCAAUGCAGUGCUGCAGGGAAGCCGUUAAGUUUGCCGCCUGGGAAGUACGUACGCAAGUAUGAAACUUAA
RNAcentral lists this ribosomal RNA (502 nucleotides) under uncultured crenarchaeote. RNAcentral's name for it is "bacterial SSU rRNA". It matches the Rfam family "Archaeal small subunit ribosomal RNA", at positions 355 to 859 of the family's 1478-position model. The record is from RNAcentral. Lineage: Archaea; Thermoproteati; Thermoproteota.